CUUUUUUGGCUCCGUCAGAAACUAAGUAAAAGUCGGACUAUGUGAAGCAAAGCCCAGAAAAUGCCUGGGCUUUUUUAGAUCGCUUCGAUAAAUUUUUUUUUAGCUCACAUCACUGGGCCACCAGGUCGCAGAUUUCAGAAACCUGGUUUUCGGAAACAGAGAUCUCCAGGACAGGGCCCCGAGCUUCGGGGGGAGCGUUCCCCAGCUGGACCUAAGCAUAGUGGGCCAGGCCCCGGGCGGAAAGACGCUCCUGGAGCCGAGAUACAGGGGUGGCUCGCCGCGCGACUUACCCGAUUUCGGAGCACUAUUUUCGGACAGUGAUGGCAGAGCAGUGGGUGUACUGGAUGGAGGAAAAUAACAGCUCCAGAGAGCGGCAGAGACCAGACCAUGACCCAGAACGGCACACUGUUCCCGGACAGUGAUGGCAGACCAGCAGGUGUACCCCAUGGAUGAAUAAAGAGCUCCAGAGAGCGGCAGAGACCAGACCAUGACCCAGAACGGCACACUGUUCCCGGACAGUGAUGGCAGAACAGCAGGUGCAGUGGAUGGAUGAAUAAAGAGCUCCAGAGAGCGGCAGAGACCAGACCAAGUCCCAGAACGACACACUAUUCCCGGACAGUGAUGGCAGAACAGCAGGUGUACCCCUUGGAUGAAUAAAGAGUUCCAGAGAGCGGCAGAACCCAGACCAUGACCCAGAACGGCACACUGUUCCCGGACAGUGAUGGCAGACCAGCAGGUGCAGUG
Molecule: long non-coding RNA, 744 nt
Organism: Gasterosteus aculeatus aculeatus (three-spined stickleback)
Lineage: Eukaryota; Metazoa; Chordata; Actinopteri; Perciformes; Gasterosteidae
Source: Ensembl